This 167-nucleotide small RNA is filed under the name Pan troglodytes (chimpanzee). Its description in RNAcentral is "processed transcript". Lineage: Eukaryota; Metazoa; Chordata; Mammalia; Primates; Hominidae. The record is from RNAcentral.
AAUCGUGAAAAAUGGAAGACAGUAGCACAGACACAGAAAAAGAAGAGGAAGAGGAGAAAGAUGAAAAGGAUCAAGAGCCCAUUUAUGCCAUAGUGCCCACAAUUAACAUUCAAGAUGAGCGGUUUGUUGAUUUAUCUGAAACUCCAGCUUUCAUUUUUCUGCGUGAG